UAUACAUAUAUAUAUAUAUGUGUGGUCUCUAUAUAUAUCUAUAUAUAUGGUACAUAUAGGUAGCUCCAUAGUUAUAUGAUUCUUUACACAAUAAUCUCAAUAAAGUUAAUUUGAUCUAAACGUAUCUUACGAGCUCUUAACAUAUGGUACAAUACUUCCGAGUGAUAAACAUGCCACAGUUACACUUUAUAUAU
Drosophila arizonae is the source of this 194-nucleotide long non-coding RNA. NCBI's taxonomy places the organism in Eukaryota, Metazoa, Arthropoda, Insecta, Diptera, Drosophilidae. The record is from RefSeq and is a predicted model, not a curated record.